Molecule: non-coding RNA, 779 nt
Organism: Malus domestica (apple)
Lineage: Eukaryota; Viridiplantae; Streptophyta; Magnoliopsida; Rosales; Rosaceae
Source: RefSeq, a predicted model, not a curated record
UUUGGCUUGGAGGGGAAAGGGAAUUGAUGCUCAACCUCCCUUCUUUCUUUAUUCCUUCAAAAAUAUUUGAAAUUGACAAUCACGCCUUUCGCUCUCAACCUCUCUCCCUCCCUUCUAUAUAAAAGCCGUCCUUCCGCACCAAAAUUCCUCUUCGUUCCCACGGAUUCUUCCCCACCGUCACAGUCCAACCGCCGUCUUUCCCGCCAAAUUUCUUGUCGAACUAUGCCUCCGUCCUCCGACCCCGCCGUUCCCACCGUCACACCAGUCACCAUAUCCUACUCCGAGCUCCAAGACAAGGACAAAGACUUGUCAGUGAAGAUUGAAGAAGGAUUUGGACCAAAUGGGUUCCGGGAUAUUCUUCCUUGCGCGGGAAUCUUCUACGCUUGUCACCUAGAUUAGCCAAUCUGCCUGAAGAGGUGAAGAAGGUACUUGAAGAUCCUCAUAGUAGGUACAAUUGUGGAUGGAGUCAUGGAAAAGAGAAGCUGGAAUCUGGAAAGCCUGAUACGUUAAAAGGCUCGUUUUAUGCAAAUCCAAUAUUGGAUAGCCCUACAACAGAUGAAUCUCUGAUUCAAAGGUAAAAGUCUAUAGGGACAUCAAUCAUAAUCUGAGUACAUGUGGGAUCUGUUUUGUCUGAGGUCACACAGUCUAUGGCUCAGACCAGUAAUGUUUGGCCAAACUGUUGUUUGUGUUAGUUAUGAAUAACUAUCAUACAUUUGAUACAAGGUUUCUUAGAAUUAACCACGACAAAUCGUCUUUAUGCUGGGAUAUGUUUAUCUUUA